AAACCCAGCAAGAAGAUCUUCCAUUAGGUGAAUUAAUGGUUCAUUUCCAUAACAAAAACGAUUGAAUAAAGCCAUAAUUUUCACGCGUCCGAGAAGUCCAACGCGAUUAGUUUUGUUUCGUAGAUGUAACGGGAUACCGUGUCAUGGAUUGCGAAAGUUAAGGGGAAAUAAAAAGUAAAACGAAAACGAAACACCGCGUGGGGCACGCAACGUGCGUUGGGAACGUGCUCUUGUAAACCGCGCGCGUUCUCGAUGCACUACGUGUGUUCACUGCGACCUGCGCAACAUGGAAAUUGCGAUCGAUCGAUCGACGAUGCGACGACGCGGUACGUUUCAGGUGGACAUUUAAUUACGAAGUUGCCGUCUGUCGAUGACAUCGUCCCGAUCGUGACGCAACCCUCGACGUAGAUCGGCCACGUUCAAAAGACCGGAGGGAGCACGAGUGGCUCGAAUGGAAUUGCGACUGGAGGGAAGCUUCGUCGCGCAUCAGGUUCAAAUAGGAAGCCUACCUAGAACGAUUCGAAAGAGAACAUUUAUGAACAUUUAUGAAUUUUUUUGGGACCCUUUAAAGUUAAUUUUUGAGGCAUGAGAAACGAUUGUGAUAGAAUAUAUAAGCAAAUUGAAGAAAUAAAAUGUAUACAUAUUCUUUAAUUAAUAAAUUGACACUCUUAUUAAACCGUAUAUAUUUUAAUUAAAGAGAUGAGAAACGAUUGUGAAA
Molecule: long non-coding RNA, 718 nt
Organism: Hylaeus anthracinus
Lineage: Eukaryota; Metazoa; Arthropoda; Insecta; Hymenoptera; Colletidae
Exons: 3
Source: RefSeq, a predicted model, not a curated record